This 74-nucleotide transfer RNA is filed under the name Candidatus Aenigmatarchaeota archaeon. Its description in RNAcentral is "tRNA-Thr". It matches the Rfam family "tRNA". From Rfam's summary of the family: Transfer RNA (tRNA) molecules are approximately 80 nucleotides in length. Their secondary structure includes four short double-helical elements and three loops (D, anti-codon, and T loops). Further hydrogen bonds mediate the characteristic L-shaped molecular structure. tRNAs have two regions of fundamental functional importance: the anti-codon, which is responsible for specific mRNA codon recognition, and the 3' end, to which the tRNAs corresponding amino acid is attached (by aminoacyl-tRNA synthetases). tRNAs cope with the degeneracy of the genetic code in two manners: having more than one tRNA (with a specific anti-codon) for a particular amino acid; and 'wobble' base-pairing, i.e. permitting non-standard base-pairing at the 3rd anti-codon position. The record is from RNAcentral. Lineage: Archaea; Nanobdellati; Candidatus Aenigmatarchaeota.
GCCACCGUAGCUCAACCUGGCAGAGCGAUUGCUUCGUAAGCAAUAGGUUGGGGGUUCAAUUCCCUCCGGUGGCU